This 1211-nucleotide long non-coding RNA is filed under the name Felis catus (domestic cat). Its description in RNAcentral is "lncRNA (ENSFCAG00000049775.1)". The record is from RNAcentral. Lineage: Eukaryota; Metazoa; Chordata; Mammalia; Carnivora; Felidae.
AUAAAUAGACAUCUAAAAAAUGCAUUUGUGUAUUUAUGUUUGAGUAUGGAUUUGUUAUUUAUGGGAUUCAUGUCACUUCUUACAAAAUAAGGAAGCUAUGGCCUGAUGGUCUGACUCAGGAGAAGCUGGGAGUAACUGUAUCACUCCCUCCCCAGUGUCUUUCUGUUUCCAGCUCCCAUGGGGGCACAGAUGUCAUCUCAUACAUUGAAGUCACAGAUGGGCCAUCCUGGCUGUCCUUGGCUUGUGAAGGGCUUCUGUUGACUUACAGGGGUGUUGCUGUGAUGGCACGUGCUCUUCACUUCACUGUGCGUUCCACUAAACCGAUACGUCUCCUGCGAUAAGUGAAGGCGUCCUCCUCCGUGGAAUCUCUUGACGGGAACCGCAGGUUUACCAGAAAAGACGAGGAAGUGUGGCGGGACCCAGGAGAAAGAGCGGGUUGCGUAGGCAUUUCGUAAGUUGUCCCGGGUAAGGUAAGCCCCUGAUUUUUCCCACUAAGAGAACCCAAGGUGUUCCAAUCCACCUAGCUUCACCAGCUCUGCUUUCCGUCUACCUGAUUCCGUCAGCCCCCGUUAUCUUCAUUCCAUGGGCAGCUUCGAGAACGAGUCUCAGUGGUCCUCUUAUCUGUUCAUUUACAGUCAUCUUGUUGGGGUCACAGAUAAGUACCCAACUCAUUAGGCGCUGACCCCUACUGGAGUAAUCACCAUAAACCACCUCCCAGUUCAAUUGAUGUGUAAACUAUUUAAGGACAAGAUGAAAUGGACAGGAAAGAUUUUCUGGUUUAGUUUAAUUGCUUCUCAGGUGGCCUCUCAUUUACCAAGCUCCGCUACAAGUAUGAACCAGAACUACCCUAGUGAAACUAAUAUAAAAGACCCAAGUACUUCGGGGAAUACAGCUUGAUUCAACACGGCCCGGGGAACCUGCCUUUGCCAGAUUGAAAGAAGGACUUUUUCAGCCUCCUUGGUUAUGCCGGUGGUGGUCCUCCUCUCCUCCGCGCGGGCAUGACACAAAAUUGCACUCUCUUUGCAUUUGAUGAGCGGAUUAUGCUGCCCACAAAUCCCUUGAUCUUUCAACUAUAUAUAUAACGCAAAAACAGAUGGUGAUGUUAAGCACGAGUCAGGUUGUCUCUGCUGGGAUGUCGUCGCUGGGAUGCAGUUGAGGCAUCGAGGAAAAAAUGACCUAAAAAUAUUGCCACGAGCAGGAGACAAGAUUGG